CAGCCAUUAUUAUGAGCUGUCCUCCCCUCAGCAGCCUCCACUGGUGUAGUUAUAUGUCUAUCAUAUUGAGGUAUCUAGCUAUAAUUUACACCUGAUCAAUCAAAUCGAUAGGUGUAAGCAAUUAUGGUAAUUCCAAUUGCCCUUAACUAGUUAACUAGGUGUCUUCGCUAGACAGACACAGCGAAACUUGUUCGGCUUCAUAUGUACCUACGGGGAAAGGAUGGCCAGCCACACAGGAGCGUGAUUUUUACUAAGGAGGAGUAGGAGGCCGUGCUGACCGAGAUGCAUGCUGGCCAUUUCGGAGUGAAGCGGAUGAUUGCCAAAAUCAACCUGCUCUUCUUCUGACAGAGAAUUGUCAAGGAGGUGGACAGCGGGGCAAUCAGUACCCUGUCUAGCCUGACAGAAGUUUGAGAGGGCGAAGACUGUGGCGCCGGAGUUUAAGCCCAUCAAAGAUGUUUCACCAUGGCACAUGAUCGGGGUGGACCUCAUUGGACCCUCACAUGUUGUACAUCUUCAACACCCACGGUUCUCCUGAGGUCAUGACCGAGGUCAUGACCGAGGUCAUGAACACUGGAACAAGGCACGUAUGUCAGAGUUCAUAUUCUGUCACCAAUGGUUUGUUUUAUUUAAGGAAGGCGUGGGACGUGGGAAACCUUGCUGCUCAUUCGCUCCUAGCUGGGGUCAACAUCUGUUAAAGUGAAUAUAUAUCUCAGAUAAUAACUAUUUGCAUGCAAAAUAACUUGAAGCUAGUUUUAGUUUCCCUAACACUGAUAUUUGUCUCUUUGUUUUCAUUUAUAUAACUAGCCAAGUCAGUUAAGAAUAAAUCAUUAUUUACAACGACAGCCUACCCCAGCCAAACCCUAACGAUACUGGGCCAAUUGUGUGCCGCCCUAUGAAACUCCCAAUCACAGCCGGUUGUGAUACAGCCUGGAAUUAAACCAGGGUCUGUAGUGAUGCCUCUAGCACUGAGCUGCAGUGCCUUAGACCGCUGCGUCACUCGGGUUACCUCAGUGGAAGCCAACAAUCUGCUCCAGUUGGAGCAGUUGGAUGGUCGACCACUGAAAGCACUGACGUUCUACACUUCGGUGAAGCCCAAUAGACAAAGUAUGUUAA
Molecule: long non-coding RNA, 1113 nt
Organism: Oncorhynchus keta (chum salmon)
Lineage: Eukaryota; Metazoa; Chordata; Actinopteri; Salmoniformes; Salmonidae
Exons: 3
Source: RefSeq, a predicted model, not a curated record